UCCGGUUUGUCACCGGCAGUCUCGCGUGAGUCCCCAACUUAAUGCUGGCAACACGCGACAAGGGUUGCGCUCGUUGCGGGACUUAACCCAACAUCUCACGACACGAGCUGACGACAGCCAUGCAGCAUCUGUGGUGCACCCUCGAAGGUCACACGUUUCCGUGCGCUUGCAGCACCAUGUCAAGCCCAGGUAAGGUGGGGAUGACGUACCAAGGUUGGUU
RNAcentral lists this unclassified non-coding RNA (220 nucleotides) under uncultured Rubrobacterales bacterium. Its description in RNAcentral is "contains 16S-23S intergenic spacer region". Lineage: Bacteria; Bacillati; Actinomycetota; Rubrobacteria; Rubrobacterales. The record is from RNAcentral.